GACAGAGGGUGCAAACGUUGUUCGGAAUUACUGGGCGUAAAGAGCUCGUAGGUGGCUCGGUAAGUCGGGUGUGAAAUUUCGAGGCUCAACCUCGAGACGCCACCUGAUACUGCUGUGGCUAGAGUCCGGUAGGGGAGCGUGGAAUUCCUGGUGUAGCGGUGAAAUGCGCAGAUAUCAGGAGGAACACCAGCGGCGAAGGCGGCGCUCUGGGCCGGUACUGACACUGAGGAGCGAAAGCGUGGGGAUCAAACAGG
Molecule: ribosomal RNA, 254 nt
Filed under: uncultured bacterium
Lineage: Bacteria
Description: partial 16S ribosomal RNA
Rfam family: Bacterial small subunit ribosomal RNA
Source: RNAcentral